AACGGCCGCGGUAUCCUAACCGUGCGAAGGUAGCGUAAUCACUUGUUCUUUAAAUGCGGACUAGUAUGAAUGGCACUACGAGGGUUAUACUGUCUCCUUUUUCUAAUCAGUGAAACUAAUUUUCCCGUGAAGAAGCGGGGAUAUAACUAUAAGACGAGAAGACCCUAUGGAGCUUUAAACAAUCCAGCAAUUACUUCUAAAAUUAUAAAUUUCAGAAUAUCCAUUUCUUAAGUAAUGUGUCUGCAAGUUUUUGGUUGGGGUGACCAUGGAGAAUAACAUAACCUCCAUAUUGAAUGAAUUCCCUUCUAAGCUAAAAAUUACCAAUUGAAGCAUCAACAUACUGACAUCUAUUGACCCAAUAUAUUUGAUCAACGAACCAAGUUACCCUAGGGAUAACAGCGCAAUCCACUUCAAGAGCCCCUAUCGACAAGUGGGUUUACGACCUCGAUGUUGGAUCAGGGUAUCCCAGUGGCGCAGCCGCUACUAAAGGUUCGUUUGUUCAACGAUUAAAACCCU
Molecule: ribosomal RNA, 516 nt
Filed under: Rhinella cf. margaritifera VG-2014
Lineage: Eukaryota; Metazoa; Chordata; Amphibia; Anura; Bufonidae
Description: partial large subunit ribosomal RNA
Rfam family: Bacterial large subunit ribosomal RNA
Source: RNAcentral